This 254-nucleotide ribosomal RNA is filed under the name uncultured bacterium. RNAcentral describes it as "partial 16S ribosomal RNA". It matches the Rfam family "Bacterial small subunit ribosomal RNA", at positions 524 to 776 of the family's 1533-position model. The record is from RNAcentral.
UACAGAGGGUGCGAGCGUUAAUCGGAAUUACUGGGCGUAAAGCGUGCGUAGACGGUUAUUUAAGUCGGGUGUGAAAGCCCCGGGCUCAACCUGGGAAUUGCAUUCGAGACUGAAUAGCUAGGGUACGGUAGAGGGAAGCGGAAUUUCCGGUGUAGCGGUGAAAUGCGUAGAUAUCGGAAGGAACAUCAGUGGCGAAGGCGGCAUCCUGGACCAACACUGACGCUGAGUGAGCGAAAGCCAGGGGAGCAAACGGG